GGGCCCGCACAAGCGGCGGAGCAUGCGGAUUAAUUCGAUGCAACGCGAAGAACCUUACCAAGGCUUGACAUAUAGAGGAAAAGUGCAGAAAUGCACUCCCCGCAAGGUCUCUAUACAGGUGGUGCAUGGUUGUCGUCAGCUCGUGUCGUGAGAUGUUGGGUUAAGUCCCGCAACGAGCGCAACCCUCGUCCUAUGUUGCCAGCACGUAAUGGUGGGAACUCAUGGGAUACUGCCGGGGUCAACUCGGAGGAAGGUGGGGAUGACGUCAAAUCAUCAUGCCCCUUAUGUCUUGGGCUUCACGCAUGCUACAAUGGCCGGUACAGAGGGCUGCAAUACCGCAAGGUGGAGCGAAUCCCAAAAAGUGCGUCGUAGUCCGGAUUGGAGUCUGCAACUCGACUCCAUG
RNAcentral lists this ribosomal RNA (403 nucleotides) under uncultured bacterium. RNAcentral describes it as "bacterial SSU rRNA". It matches the Rfam family "Bacterial small subunit ribosomal RNA", at positions 917 to 1322 of the family's 1533-position model. The record is from RNAcentral.